RNAcentral lists this ribosomal RNA (1527 nucleotides) under Microbacterium arborescens. Its description in RNAcentral is "bacterial SSU rRNA". It matches the Rfam family "Bacterial small subunit ribosomal RNA". Lineage: Bacteria; Bacillati; Actinomycetota; Actinomycetes; Micrococcales; Microbacteriaceae. RNAcentral also lists the same sequence under 5 other names. The record is from RNAcentral.
UUUACGGAGAGUUUGAUCCUGGCUCAGGAUGAACGCUGGCGGCGUGCUUAACACAUGCAAGUCGAACGGUGAAGCAGAGCUUGCUCUGUGGAUCAGUGGCGAACGGGUGAGUAACACGUGAGCAAUCUGCCCCUGACUCUGGGAUAAGCGCUGGAAACGGCGUCUAAUACCGGAUACGAGCUGCGACCGCAUGGUCAGUAGCUGGAAAGAAUUUCGGUCAGGGAUGAGCUCGCGGCCUAUCAGCUUGUUGGUGAGGUAAUGGCUCACCAAGGCGUCGACGGGUAGCCGGCCUGAGAGGGUGACCGGCCACACUGGGACUGAGACACGGCCCAGACUCCUACGGGAGGCAGCAGUGGGGAAUAUUGCACAAUGGGCGCAAGCCUGAUGCAGCAACGCCGCGUGAGGGAUGACGGCCUUCGGGUUGUAAACCUCUUUUAGCAGGGAAGAAGCGAAAGUGACGGUACCUGCAGAAAAAGCGCCGGCUAACUACGUGCCAGCAGCCGCGGUAAUACGUAGGGCGCAAGCGUUAUCCGGAAUUAUUGGGCGUAAAGAGCUCGUAGGCGGUCUGUCGCGUCUGCUGUGAAAACCCGAGGCUCAACCUCGGGCCUGCAGUGGGUACGGGCAGACUAGAGUGCGGUAGGGGAGAUUGGAAUUCCUGGUGUAGCGGUGGAAUGCGCAGAUAUCAGGAGGAACACCGAUGGCGAAGGCAGAUCUCUGGGCCGUAACUGACGCUGAGGAGCGAAAGGGUGGGGAGCAAACAGGCUUAGAUACCCUGGUAGUCCACCCCGUAAACGUUGGGAACUAGUUGUGGGGUCCAUUCCACGGAUUCCGUGACGCAGCUAACGCAUUAAGUUCCCCGCCUGGGGAGUACGGCCGCAAGGCUAAAACUCAAAGGAAUUGACGGGGACCCGCACAAGCGGCGGAGCAUGCGGAUUAAUUCGAUGCAACGCGAAGAACCUUACCAAGGCUUGACAUAUAGAGGAAACGUCUGGAAACAGUCGCCCCGCAAGGUCUCUAUACAGGUGGUGCAUGGUUGUCGUCAGCUCGUGUCGUGAGAUGUUGGGUUAAGUCCCGCAACGAGCGCAACCCUCGUUCUAUGUUGCCAGCACGUAAUGGUGGGAACUCAUGGGAUACUGCCGGGGUCAACUCGGAGGAAGGUGGGGAUGACGUCAAAUCAUCAUGCCCCUUAUGUCUUGGGCUUCACGCAUGCUACAAUGGCCGGUACAAAGGGCUGCAAUACCGUGAGGUGGAGCGAAUCCCAAAAAGCCGGUCCCAGUUCGGAUUGAGGUCUGCAACUCGACCUCAUGAAGUCGGAGUCGCUAGUAAUCGCAGAUCAGCAACGCUGCGGUGAAUACGUUCCCGGGUCUUGUACACACCGCCCGUCAAGUCAUGAAAGUCGGUAACACCUGAAGCCGGUGGCCCAACCCUUGUGGAGGGAGCCGUCGAAGGUGGGAUCGGUAAUUAGGACUAAGUCGUAACAAGGUAGCCGUACCGGAAGGUGCGGCUGGAUCACCUCCUUUCUAAGGA